This is a non-coding RNA of Paramuricea clavata, 307 nucleotides long. Lineage: Eukaryota; Metazoa; Cnidaria; Anthozoa; Malacalcyonacea; Plexauridae. The record is from the annotation of a GenBank genome assembly.
CCGUCACUUAGAAAAACAUUCAGAGCUACCCAAUGAAAACAAAGAACAAAGACAGACAUUUUCUCCCAUUAGACUUAAAGGAGUGGAUCUCCCUAUCUUCUCUGGCGAAGAAAAAAGUGACUAUGAAUCCUGGAAGGCAGCAUUCCUGUCUGUUGUCGAUCGUCGUGAUAUUCCUGUCGGAGAAAAAAUGCUUAGACUACAAGGCUGUUUGUCGGGUAAAGCUUUAACCAUGGUGAAAGAUCUUGGGUAUUCCCUUAAUGCGUAUGAAAGAGCGAAGGCUAAAUUGGAGAAGAAGUACGGAGGGGAG